RNAcentral lists this long non-coding RNA (249 nucleotides) under Elaeis guineensis (African oil palm). RNAcentral's name for it is "long non-coding RNA (EGUI_LNC026457)". Lineage: Eukaryota; Viridiplantae; Streptophyta; Magnoliopsida; Arecales; Arecaceae. The record is from RNAcentral.
CAACAGUCGGAGGUCCCGACCUUCACCGGGUCGUCCUCCCCCGAUUGUAUGUCGGUCGUCGGGCAUUCCGCGAUGAAGUCGGCAAGAACCUGGGCCUUUAAGGCAGGUCUCGGUCAGUACCGGAUGUCGAAUUUGCCCAGUCUCACAGCCCAUUUCACCAGCCGUCCCGACGUGUCAGGUCGGUGCAAGAUAGCCCUCAGGGGCUGGUCGGUGAGGACCACAAUGGCAUGUGCUUGGAAGUAUGGACGG